UGGGGAAUCUUGGUCAAUGGGCGAAAGCCUGAACCUGCGACGCCGCGUGUGUGAUGAAGGUCGUAAGAUCGUAAAACUCUUUUCAGGGAUCUUAAAGCCUGUCUGUCAACAACAGGCAGAUCUGACUCUCCCUGGAAGAAGCGCAAGCCAACUCCGUGCCAGCAGCCGCGGUAAUACGGAGGGUGCAAGCGUUAUUCGGAAUUACUGGGCGUAAAGGGCGUGCAGGCGGGAGAGCAAGUCUGAUGUGAAAGCCCGGGGCUUAACCCCGGAAGGGCAUUGGAAACUGGUUUGCUUGAGUUCUGGAGAGGAAGGGAGAAUUCCCGGUGUAGAGGUGAAAUUCGUAGAGAUCGGGAGGAACAUCAGUGGCGAAGGCGCCCUUCUGGACAGCAACUGACGCUGAGACGCGAAAGCGUGGGGAGCAAACA
RNAcentral lists this ribosomal RNA (425 nucleotides) under uncultured prokaryote. Its description in RNAcentral is "bacterial SSU rRNA". It matches the Rfam family "Bacterial small subunit ribosomal RNA", at positions 355 to 774 of the family's 1533-position model. The record is from RNAcentral.